This 157-nucleotide unclassified non-coding RNA is filed under the name uncultured Ascomycota. RNAcentral's name for it is "sequence contains ITS1". Lineage: Eukaryota; Fungi; Ascomycota. The record is from RNAcentral.
CAGAGUUGCAAGACUCCCAGACCACUGUGAACUUUACCAGCCGUUGCUUCGGCGGGCGCGGCCCUAUAGCUGCGCGAGCCCCUCCACGGGCGCCCGCCGGAGGCACCCAAACCAAUGACGUUUUGCAUGGCCUCUCUGAGCAACUGUACUGAAGUCA